Taeniopygia guttata (zebra finch) is the source of this 6217-nucleotide non-coding RNA. The record is from RefSeq and is a predicted model, not a curated record. NCBI's taxonomy places the organism in Eukaryota, Metazoa, Chordata, Aves, Passeriformes, Estrildidae.
CCCUCACAGUCAAGAAUUUCUUCCUAAUAUCUAAUAUAAAUCUGGCAAAUUGUGACAUCAAAUGUCAUAAUUUACUUCUGACAUAAUUUCUGUGUCUCAGUGAUCUCCACAGAGGCUGAGAACUCAGGCACAUUUCUAUGCAAUCCCCUGCUCCCAUCUCUUUAGCCAACCUCCUCUGGAUUUCAAACUCUAUAUGGGAGCUCCUUGAGGACCCACUCCUGUUGCAUUUUGGGAAGAUUAUAAGUGCUCUGUUUGCAUGCAGUUUGAUGCAGUGUGUGGAUUUUUAUAACUAUGACAAAUAUGAGACACACACGAUUUUCUAGGGACAGCGGCUGCUCCCACCUCCAGUUAAUGUGACUGAGAACUGCAAGAUUGGGUGGAAAAAUAAGGGUCCAGUAAGCCCUUCUGCACUAAAUGGUUAGAGCUUGGCUGCCUGAAGGUUGAUAUUAAAUAAUUUAUACAAUCCUUCAAAUAAUUAUAAAUAAUAAUCCUUUAAAUAGUUAUAAAUAAUGUAUACAAUCCUUCACCUGGAAAUGAACAUAAGUGGCAUUUGCUACAUGCUGUUGCCUUCUAGAUUUGCAAGUUGUUGUUUCUGAAGCUGUCAGCUAGAACACAUUUAAUGUAUGACUAAACCUCAUUCAUGCAGUUUUAGAUCAGAUUGGUUUCUGCGAAUACUGUCUCUUUCCUACUGCACUGAUGCUCAGUUCUCUGGCUACAACAGACUGGCCACUGUCAUUUCAGUGUUCACUGACACCAGGGCAACAGAUCUAGCUCUCUCACAUCUGCACAAAACAGCCUUUCAGGGCUCAGGCAUUAUCUCUAGGACUCUCAAAAGCACACAGCAUCUGAAGCCAGAAUUAGCCAGAUAGCAAGGAAGACACCUGACAUCAAGUGGAAAUGAAAAAGGAAAAUCUAAUGACCACAGGGUCAGAAGCUCAAUGAUUUAAUGGUAUUCUUCAAGUGCCCAUCUUGUUACAGAUGGGUAAUUGCUGUUAGAACAACAUGGCUAACACUUUAUUUUCCUACAGGAGAUAAUUACUUUGAUUGAAAACACUGGCUGUCAGACAAUGGCAUACCUACUGCAACACCUGCAGACCAGGAAUGGGCAGCUGCAUUUGUCUUGUAGCGGUGCUAAUCAGGUUCCUGCAACUGCCACACCUUUGACUGAGGUUGAGGUGACAGGCUGCCGUGGUGCUUAUGAGGUCUUUUUUCCUCUUUACUGAUUGCUUUAGUCUCAGUUCCUCCCUCACUUUUUAAAACUCCAAAACACAUUAUUGGCACUAACAGCAAAUACAGAGAAGAGAAACUGCCAGACAAUCGACUGAUAUAAAUUCAUGUGCUAUUUUAGUCGGCUGCGCUCUUUAUAUAUAUGCAAGAUGAAAAAAAUUAACCCCAAAUCUGAUGAAAUACAAAUUAGUAUUUGAUACUACCUGCAAUGAUUAUGUGUAAAUCCACAAAUGAAAUUGCAGACUAGACUAACCUAUCAUGUUCAGGUUAGCAUUUGCCAGCUACCCAGUGUCCAUUCUCAGCUAAGAUAGACAUUUUAAACAUGCACUUUUUUCUGGCUGAGUUCACUAUAUUUUUAAGCAUAAUAAAAGAAUACAUAAAUACUUUUUAUAAACUGUGUGGGAAUGAUGAAAGAAAAAAACCACUUUCUUUACAAAUAAUAUGUGUUGUACUGAAGAACUUUGUCAUAUAAAAAAAUGGAUGAACAUCGAGGGCAAAAAUAACCUCGCCUUAAUCAUUGAAGUGACAAGUUAAAUUUGAUGUCAAUGGCCUUCAUAGAGGCCAUCCUCAAAAUGAGCAGCAAGUUUUCUCUAAAGGCCUUGUGGAAGUAUGGGCUUAUUCACUGUACAUAACUGUUUCCCUAGAAUAGAAAUCUCCAGGGAGGAUUAGCUUUAUCAACUGUAACCACAGCAAUAUAAUCUUAUGUGACUUCCUUUUACACAUAGCUGGAAUGCUGUUUAAAUUCAUCUAGUUUGACCCUAUAGUAUAAUGAUGAAUCAUGCUUAUAAAUAAGGAGGUGUGCUGCUAUUGACUGGAGUAGAGUUCAUUUUCUUCCCAGCAGCUGAUAUGGGGCUGUCUUUUGAUUUUGUGCUAGUAACAGAGGGAUAUUUUCAUUAUUGCUGAGCAGCACUUGUACUGAGUCAAGGCUCUUUCUGCUCCUCGCCCCUCCUCCCCCCACCAGCAAGGGGCCUGGGAGUGUACAGGUUGGGAAGGGACACAGCUGGGACAGCUGAACCUCAACUUAACCAGGGGAUGUUCCAGACCAUAUGGAAUUAUGCUCAGCAUAGAACACAGCAGUGGGAUGUUAGGAGUGAUGGUGUUUGUCUUCCCAAGUCACUGUUACAUGUGAUGGAGCUGUGCUUACCUGGGGAUGGUGACCUGCCCAUGUGAAGCGCUGAAUUAAUUAAUUACUUGUUUUGUUUUGCUUACAUGUGCAGCUUUUGCUUUCUCUAUCAAACUGUCAUUGUCUCAACCCAUGAGCUUUCUUAUUUUUUAUUCUUGCAGUUCUCUCCUCCAUCCCAAGAUGGGGUGGGGGUGAGCAAUCAGCUGCAUAGGGAUAAGCUGCUGUCUGGGGUUAAACCAUGAGAGCAAGAGAAUUUUAUGGAGCGAGAUUAUUCGACAGGCAGUCAAAUAAUCAUUUGUAAGGAACUGAAGAGGAACCAUGAAGAGUCACUUAAGAUUUGCUGCAGAUGACAAUAAAGUUAUGAAUUUACUAAAGUUAAAUUGCAUUUCUCAGCAUCCUAGACAUUGCAGAAAGAGAGAUAUGACACUUGAAAUGUGGUAUAUCCUAGUGGCAAUUACAUUACUGUAGCACAGCCAGAAAAUACAUAUUUAUUAUUUGCCCUGCACUCUACUAUUCUGUCUUCUUUCUUACCCAGCUGCAUCCAAAACUUUGAAGCUCCUGUAGAGUCAACAAUGAAGAGCAGGUAUUUCUUCACUGUGAAUCUAACACAGUUGUCAUCUACUUCAGAGGGCUUAGAUGCCUCAUUCUCUUCUGAGAUUCCUAAAAACCUGGAUGACAAUUUUAUGGAGCAAGUCCUAAGGGAAGCAAUUGAAAAAGAUGACCUUCUUGAUCUGCUGCUUGUCAACAGAGUGGAUUUUGAGAGCGGAGUAGAGACUGGCAGCUGUCUUGGCCACAGUGACCAAGAAGGAAUUGAGUUAAAAUCUCUGUUAAUAGGAGGGAAAGUGCUGGCAAAACCUCAGCUCUGUAUAUGAGGAGAGCAGACUCAGGUUUCUCAGGCAAUUAGUGAGUCAGGUCCCCGGGAACAUUUUUUGCAGAUGCUGCAGUCCAUCAGUGCUGGUGACUUUUUAAAUAUCACUUCCUAAGAGCACUGGAGCAGGCAAUUCCCAAAAGUCAGAAGUCAAGCAGGGGAGGCAGAAGACCAGCUUGACUGAACAGGAGCCUUCUCUUGGAAAUAACGGAAAAAAGGAAGGCCCAGUGAAAAACAGGGCCAGAUAAUAUGGCAAGGAUACAGAGAUACUAUAGAGAGGAAAUUCAGGCAGCCAAACCUGGAGCUGAAGCUGGCCAAAACUGUGGGGGAAAAUAAAAAGUUUUUUUCAAAUAUAUCAAUGGCAUCGGGAAGUGCAAAACUAAUAUCAGGUCAUUACAGGAUGGUCUCCCCGCAAUCAGGGACAUGGACAAGGCAGAGGUUUAACAUAAUCUUUGCCUCUGUCAUCAACACCAGAUGGGCUAAGGGGGUCUCAAUGCCCUAAGUUGAAGAAGUAUGACUGCAGGAAUGAUUAAUUCCCAGACAGCCUGGGGCUCCAGCUGCAUCCCUAAAAAUCAUGGAGCCUGUUGGUCUGAAGCCAACAGAGCUUCAUGAGAUGAAAGUCCUGCUUAUCAAACCUGAUUUCCUUUUAUGACAAGAUAACCCACCUAGCUGAUCAAGAAAAGCCAGAUGAUGUAAUCUUUUUGGAUUUUAACAAAGCUUUUGAUACUGUCUCUUCCAGUGUUCUUCUGGGCAAAAUGUCCAGCUCACAGCUGGAAAAACACAUCUUGUGAUGGGUCUGCAGCUGGCUCAGGGUUCAGGUACAAAGGGCUACAGUGAGUGGUGUGGCAUCAGACUGAUGACCUGUCACUAGUGGAGUUCUGCAGAGUUCCAUCCUCAGCCGUCUGCUUUUCAACAUCUUCAUAAAUUACUUGAAUGCAGGACUGGAAGGGACACCAAGCAGGUUCUCAGACGAUUCAAAACUGGGAGGAGCUGUUGAUUUCCUCAAAGCCAGGGAGACCCUGCAGAGACACCUCAACAAGUCAGAGGGCUGGCUAACCACCAACCAUACAGAUCUCAACAAGGGAAAAUGCUGGAUUCUGCACCUGGGAUGGGGCAAACCUGGAUGUACAGAAAGACUGGGGAAUGAGAGGCUGGAAAGCAGUGCCACAGAAAGAGUCCUGGGGGUCCUGAUGGAUGGAAAGUUGGAUAUAAAUCAGCAGUGCCCUGGCAGGCAGGAGGGCCAGCUGUGUCCUGGGGGACAUCAAGUCCAGCAUCACCAGCAGGGCAAGGCAGGGAUUGUCCCUCUGCUCUGCACUGGGCCAGCCUCACCUCGAGUGCUGGGGGCAGUUCUGGGUGCUACUAUAUAAAACAGACUUAAAGCAAUUAAAAACCAUCCAAAGGAGGGCUAAGAAGAUGACAUAUUAGGAGUGGCUGAGGUCACUUGUUCUGUUCAGCCUGGAGGAGACUGAGGGGAGACCUCAUUGCAGUCUAGAACUUCUUUGUGAGGGGAAGAGGAGAGGCAGGCACUGAUUUCUUCUCUGUGGUGACCAGUGACAGGGCCUGAGAGAAGGUGUCAUGGGAGGUUUAGGCUGGAAAUUAGGAAAAGGUUCUUCACCCCAAAGAUGGUCAGGCACUGGAACAGACUGCCCAGGGAAGUAGCCACAGCACCAGCCUGAUAGGUUCAAGAAGUGUUAGGACAAUACUCUUGAACACAUGGUGUGGCUCUUGGGGAUGGUGCUGUGCAGGACCGGGAGUUGGACUUGAUCUGGGCGAGUCCCUUCCUGCUCAGCAUAUUCUGAGACUCUGUGAGAUCUAAGCCAGUAUGACAAAUCCUGUUGCAUGGCCACUGGGAGAGGAGCAUGCUUUAACCUAAAUUAGCCCUUGGGAUUAUGUUGCAGAGAAAUAAAGAUACCCACGUUUAAUUAUCCUUCCUCCUCCUUACAAAUAAUUUGAAAACCAAUUCAUAGAGCAUAUUAUUGUUGUGUGGCCCUUGGGAUACUUUCCUUGUUCCUCAUUUAUUCAUCAUUAUAUUCUUUUACAAUUACAGCAGGAAGCUGCCACUAUUGCUCAACAUCAGCUGUACAAGAAAUGUAAAAUUAGGACCAUCCAGGGAGUAGAACAAGAAGGAUUCAGACAGAUAUUUAAGUAUGUUUACUUAAUAAAGGCAUAUUUUGGUGCAUCCCUGUGUAUCCCAAUAUACAAUAAGAAUUUGUACAGCAAAGAACGGUAGGAUUUCAUCCCCCUAUUUUCAGGUAAGUCUCCAGAAGACUGUGUGGUAAAUUGUCAUUGGGAGAGGCCUCAAGGUCAGAUGUAGUUGGAAAAGCAAGAGAGGGACAUGAUUAACACGAUUUCAUCAAGGACAUGGCUCACUUGGACAUAGUCAUUAGGUUUUCCUGUUGAAAUGGCUCAAGAGGGAAAGAAAAAACUGAAUGAAGAAGAACCAAAAGCCUGCAAUAUUUCCAUGAGGAAACACCUAAAUACAGCACAUGUGUCUAUGGAGUGAGUUUCAAAUCCUGGGCUGCUAAUGAGGCCAAGCCACCUAAAUUUUUGACUGUCAAAGCAGAUGUUUUUCUCUGAGUUAGGGGACACAGCUGAGGUGCUCUGACUGGGGUGUCCUGUUUGAUGUCCACACUGCUAUUGGCUGGCCAGGUGUCUGCAGUGACGCUGAGUUGUGAGGAUUUCUGAAGGAAUUUGGAAUGAGUUAGAAACGGGACCUCUGAGCUGCUUUUCCUUAUCUUCUACACAGGCAGGAAAGGUGAGUUUGGCUCACAUCUUCACCUCAUGGCUCAGAAGGUCCCAAGUUACAAGACUUAGUUACAAAACCUUUUAAGGAUUUAUUAACCAAUAAAACAUUGCCAACAAUGAUAUUUAUGCUUUUGACCCAGUCCUUAAAUAUUUCGUUCUUAUGGACUCAUGCUACAGUGUAAGCUUUCUUAGCCAAUCAUGUUAUGACACACAAAUGUAUAGUACUGUACAAUAAAACUCUAAACUUUGCUAAA